This 877-nucleotide long non-coding RNA is filed under the name Ficedula albicollis (Collared flycatcher). Its description in RNAcentral is "lncRNA (ENSFALG00000025121.1)". The record is from RNAcentral. Lineage: Eukaryota; Metazoa; Chordata; Aves; Passeriformes; Muscicapidae.
CAACAGUACAUUUAGUAAAAGAAUAAAUAUUUCCUUGUUUGUAUUGUACUGUUACAGCUUUAAACUUACACUAAACUAACCCUCCAUGUGUGCUUUAUAGAUAUACAGCCACAUGUUCAUUGGAUGAGGAGCAAUAGAUGGAGCAAAUGUUCUUCAGACAAGACAAGAAUUGUGAUAAGUUCUGAAUUCCAGUUUCUUGAAUAAAGAUACUUCCCUGCCUUCCAUCCCAAGCAUAUUUCAACAGUUUAAGACUGAAGGAGCUGCUCUUGUUGAGAGGAAAAUAGAAUGGAAAAAAGGUGUCAGAAGUUCACAAAAGCAGGAAGGUAAUAUCAAGAGGUGAGUGGCAGUGUCGUCUGAAAGCUGAAAAGAAACUUGUUUAAAUGGACACAGCUGGACAAGGUUAGGGUAGAUGGGAACCCUUUAGUGUGCAUAUAUAAGUAAUCACAAUUAUUUUCUUGAAUCAUACUGGGGCUACCUUGAGAAGGUGGUGCAUCUUCAAAUAGUGUUGUUGUCAUGUAGGCAUAUAAUUUCUAGAAAUAACACCUAAGGCUUCAGAGAUAUAUUGGUACUUAAAAGCAGAUAUGCUGGCUUCCUGGCAUAUAGACUUUGAUAAGCUUUACUGAUAAAAUAAUGACAUAGAGUAUUUCAGACACUUAGCUUUGUGAUUUAAAGCCAAACAACUGUAGCCCUAAAGUGCCAAAGCACUAGAAAGGAAGUGCCAUUCUUAGAGGAAUUUAGAUUAUGAAAAUUGCUCUUUAAGACCAUGCAGAGUUUGAAGGCAGCAGACCAAAUCAGACUAAGAAUAUGGCUGUAAUGAUGAGCAGUGCCAUUUGAAUGUUUUACAGUACUAAUGUGAGAUUUCUAAACUACUGGGCAU